CUCAUUCUGGGUGCUGGAGUCAGUGGAGUUUCCUUUGGUUCCUUCUUUCAACUAUAUGUGGACGCACGAUACAUUUAGUGUCGUUAAUCUACGUGGUGGAUGUGAGCGUAAUCUUGCUUAGAAUAUGCAAGGAUUGCCUGAACUGUAGCAGGAUAUCCUGUGCAGUGUUCAGAGUUCUAAUAAUGGCUGAUAAAGAAGAUCAACAAGCACCAAAACAAAACGUAGGUGGAGGUCCUGACUGUCUUCAACUGGGAAACGAGAGCCCCCCGCCAGAGGAUGUGACCGGUGAAAAGACGUGCGACUCCCAAGACGGGCCAAAGCAAUGGGACUACUUCCCAUGGGAUAGAUGGUCACGUGAGAGGAGCACAGACUCUAGGGAAAGGAGUGUGGACUCGCGUGACUCGGCAACAAGGGAGAGGGAUCUACGAUAUGCAGAGGAACGGAAACGGGACCGUGAACGUGGCCGCCGGGAGGAGGUCAUCCUUUACCGUCACAGAGACUCUGAAACCACCCAGAGUGACAGUACCGAAGAGGAGGAUGCAGAAAGCUCAAAUGGAAGCAAAGCGAAGGCUUCCACAUAGACUACUGUGAAUGAAAGUGCAGAAAACAAAAGAACAUUUUCAAGAGAAGCCGUUCCUGUACCACUAGGCCACAAUGAGCGGACUGAGCACGCCCUGGCAAAGCACACCCAUCAGAAGGCAGCCAAAACUUCCAAGAGUCCACCAACCAGUAAGGAAGCCUCAAAGCGCAUGGAGCUUGCCAAAGAGGCCACUGAAGGUUCUACAUUUGUGGCUAACAAGAGAAAUGGAAAUGCUGACCAGAAAGGAUCUGGUGACAGUCACAGCAAAACAUCAAGGAAUUGCAAC
Long non-coding RNA from Rhipicephalus microplus (southern cattle tick), 866 nucleotides. Lineage: Eukaryota; Metazoa; Arthropoda; Arachnida; Ixodida; Ixodidae. The record is from RefSeq and is a predicted model, not a curated record.